RNAcentral lists this transfer RNA (91 nucleotides) under Acinetobacter nosocomialis. Its description in RNAcentral is "tRNA-Pro". It matches the Rfam family "tRNA". Rfam says of the family: Transfer RNA (tRNA) molecules are approximately 80 nucleotides in length. Their secondary structure includes four short double-helical elements and three loops (D, anti-codon, and T loops). Further hydrogen bonds mediate the characteristic L-shaped molecular structure. tRNAs have two regions of fundamental functional importance: the anti-codon, which is responsible for specific mRNA codon recognition, and the 3' end, to which the tRNAs corresponding amino acid is attached (by aminoacyl-tRNA synthetases). tRNAs cope with the degeneracy of the genetic code in two manners: having more than one tRNA (with a specific anti-codon) for a particular amino acid; and 'wobble' base-pairing, i.e. permitting non-standard base-pairing at the 3rd anti-codon position. The record is from RNAcentral. Lineage: Bacteria; Pseudomonadati; Pseudomonadota; Gammaproteobacteria; Moraxellales; Moraxellaceae.
GGUGAGGUGUCCGAGUGGCUGAAGGAGCACGCCUUGGAAAGUGUGUAUACGUUUGCGCGUAUCGAGGGUUCGAAUCCCUCUCUCACCGCCA